UGGGGAAUAUUGGACAAUGGGCGCAAGCCUGAUCCAGCCAUGCCGCGUGAGUGAUGAAGGCUCUAGGGUUGUAAAGCUCUUUCACCGGUGAAGAUAAUGACGGUAACCGGAGAAGAAGCCCCGGCUAACUUCGUGCCAGCAGCCGCGGUAAUACGAAGGGGGCUAGCGUUGUUCGGAUUUACUGGGCGUAAAGCGCACGUAGGCGGACUUUUAAGUCAGGGGUGAAAUCCCGGGGCUCAACCCCGGAACUGCCUUUGAUACUGGAAGUCUUGGGUAUGGUAGAGGUGAGUGGAAUUCCGAGUGUAGAGGUGAAAUUCGUAGAUAUUCGGAGGAACACCAGUGGCGAAGGCGGCUCACUGGACCAUUACUGACGCUGAGGUGCGAAAGCGUGGGGAGCAAACAGG
RNAcentral lists this ribosomal RNA (404 nucleotides) under Actinomycetes bacterium. Its description in RNAcentral is "Actinobacteria bacterium partial 16S ribosomal RNA". It matches the Rfam family "Bacterial small subunit ribosomal RNA", at positions 355 to 776 of the family's 1533-position model. The record is from RNAcentral. Lineage: Bacteria; Bacillati; Actinomycetota; Actinomycetes.